This 247-nucleotide unclassified non-coding RNA is filed under the name uncultured fungus. Its description in RNAcentral is "sequence contains ITS1, 5.8S rRNA gene". The stretch from base 199 to 247 matches the Rfam family "5.8S ribosomal RNA", at positions 1 to 49 of the family's 154-position model. The record is from RNAcentral. Lineage: Eukaryota; Fungi.
UCUCCGUUGGUGAACCAGCGGAGGGAUCAUUACAGAGUUUUCUAACUCCCAAACCCUUUGUGAACUUACCUAUGUUGCCUCGGUGGGAGCCUACCCUGUACCUACCCUGUAACGGGUUACCCGGGAGCGGCCCCACCGGUGGACUUUUUAACUCUUGUUAUUUUAUGUAAUCUGAGAGUCUUAUUUUAAAUAAGUCAAAACUUUCAACAACGGAUCUCUUGGUUCUGGCAUCGAUGAAGAACGCAGC